Molecule: non-coding RNA, 395 nt
Organism: Pogona vitticeps (central bearded dragon)
Lineage: Eukaryota; Metazoa; Chordata; Lepidosauria; Squamata; Agamidae
Source: the annotation of a RefSeq genome assembly
CACAACCCAUCCUGGAAAUCUCCAUGGAGUCCCUACCUGCCUUUCUGCUUCUCUUGUCAGUCCUUAAGCCAGGCUCUUCUGAAAUCCGCUUGACCCAGUCCGGUGGGGAGACAUGGAAGCCUGGAGCAACUCUCCGGCUGACCUGCGCGGUCUCUGGAUACGCCAUCUCUUCUGGCUAUUACUGGCAUUGGAUCCGCCAGCCACCCCAGAAGGGGCUGGAAUGGGUAGGGAGGGGAUACUACAGUGGUUCGACCUGGUACACAAGUUACGGCUCAGCUUUCCAGAGCAGGACCUCCAUCACUACUGAUGCCUCCAAGAAUGAAUUCUACCUCGAGCUGAGGUCCCUGAUAGCUGCCGACACAGCCGUGUAUUACUGUGCACGAAGAGCACAGUGA